GUGCACUAAAAAUACUACAUAAAAUUGCUUCAGGAUAUAUAUGAGGUGUAUAUGAAACAAAUGAGUUAUGUGUUUACACUUAAGUCCCAUCCCCCAAGGUAUCGUCCUUUAUGUAUUCAUAUAUAGCUGGUGGGAGUGAAAAACAGUACAGCCAGGGCUGGGGUUGUGGCUCAGUGGUAGAGUGCUCGCCUUGCAUGUGCGAGACCCUGGGUUCGAUCCUCAGCACCACAUAAAAAGAAAUAAAGGUAUUGUGUCCAACUACAAACUAAAAAAUAAAUAUUAAAAAAAAAAAACAAACAUUACAGCCACCUUUGGAAAAAAUCCUGGAGUUCCUCAAAAGUUUAAACAUAGUUACCAUAUGACCCAACAGUAAGACUCCUAGGUGUAUUAUCCAAGAGAAAUUGAAAUGUGUCCAUACAAAACAAAACCUUGUAGCAUGUUCACAGCACCAUCAAAUAAUAAUAGCCCCAAAGUGGAAACAGACAAAAUGUCCAUCAACUGAUGAGUGGGUAAACAAAUGAGGCACAUCAAUACAGUGGAAUAUUAUUCAGUCAUGGUAGAAGUGUAAAGGCAGAAAAUAGUGGUUCCCCUGGGAUGAUGGAGAAGUGACAUGAUUUCUGGGUUUCUUUUGGGGGUGGUAGUUGCACAAUUCUGAAUAUGCUAAAAACCACAGAAUUGUAGUCUCAUAGGCAACUUAUAUGUGCCAGGUGUGGUGGCAGACCCCUGUAAUCCCAGUGGUUUAGAGGUUGAAGUAGCAGGAUUGCAAGUUCAAAGCCAGUCUUGGCAAUUUAGCAAGGCCCUAAGGAACUUAGGAGGACCCUUUCUCAAAAAGGGCCUGGGAAUGUGGCUCAGUG
Molecule: long non-coding RNA, 854 nt
Filed under: Marmota monax (woodchuck)
Lineage: Eukaryota; Metazoa; Chordata; Mammalia; Rodentia; Sciuridae
Rfam family: tRNA (bases 160-228)
Source: RNAcentral